GUAAAUACUCUGGCUUACAGCAAAAAUGGCAUUUUUGGGGGGAGCUAUAUCCACGGGAUGCAGAAGUUCCUGGGAACUACCCAAAAUAGCAUGUUUUAUGGUACCAAUUUCCAUGUUAAUACAUUUCUCAGACGAUUGUAGAGAUCCUGAACUUUUUCUCCCCUUUGAUGUAUCCGUUUUGCAGUUUACAGGCUUAUUGCAGUGUUACUCAACGUUUAGUCAUUUUUCUCAGGAAACGUAUUUAGAAAGGUCAUUCAUUUUUCUAGAGAAGGCUGAUAACUGGAACUUAAUAAUCCACCACACCCCCACAUCCCCAGCCUCCAAACCAAACAAACCAGUAUGUCGAUUCCAUUUAAUCCUGCUUUGAGGGCAGGGUUUUGUGAAAUAAUAUUUUCUGAACAUUUUAUCAAAAUUAUUCACAGACCUCAAACAGGAUACAACUAUAUUUAACUUUCAGCCAUUCCCACCUGAAAACAAGCCAUGGGCUUUUAGCAGAAAUGUAAUCUGACCACCACCAAAUACUUAAAUACGAAGCAAAAAACAAAACAAAACAAAACAAAACCAAAAAACCCAAAAAACAAAAACAAAAAAAUUGCAAGGUAACUGAAUUAAAAGGCAAUUGAUCUUACAAACUCUCUGAUUUUGGAAUUUCCUCUAUGCCCUUGAGGGAAAAGAAAAGCACAAUGUAUGGUUCCAGAAUUGUUUCUUUUGGUAAAAUUUCCCAGAUUGCUUAGAAAGAAAAAAACAAUACUAUUGUAUUAUAACAGAACAAUACUGAAGCCAAGUACCUUUUUUUGUAUUGGCUCCUUCCAUACUGCUGUCCCCACAAUGGCAGCGUGAGUCUCCUUGACCAGUAGGAACUUAACUUUGAUGGGGUGGAGACAGAGACAGGGGAGGUGAUUUGCCUGAAAUUACAGCAGGAAACCCUGGGUGAGACUCUGCCCUACAGCGAUCCAGAGGUCCAAGCCCUUGGUCUGAGGCCUGGCUGUGACUAGUCUUCACUAUGGACAGUCUCACACUUGCACGUGUGUGUUGGCGGGCAAACCAGUUGUAUCACUUGAUCUCUGUCCCAUGUGACAGGAACCACACUGACUAGAAAAGGGCAAUUCCAGGGGUAGGUCUAACUUCAGUCGUGACUUGAUGAAAGUCAAGUGAUGUCGCCAGGACCUAGUUUCUCUUUUAUCUUUUGGUUCUCCAGGCCCUGAUUUGCCCUGUUUUCAGACAAGCCUCUUCACUGUGGUAACAGCUGGGUUGCAAACUGUUAAUUCCAAACCUAACUUUCUACAACUUUGAAUCCAGUGAAAAAAAAACCAAAAUGUUUUUUUCUCAAGAGUCCCAGUCCAGGUUUUGCUGUGUCCUAUUGGCUCUGAUUAAGUGGACCAGUCAACAUGGCCACGUAUCUGGCCAGGCUGAGGUCACAUGCUCUACCACCACUGGGCCUAGGAUGGGACAGUUAGAAGCAGGACUCUUUAAAAGGAGCCUUAAGGGACCCCUCAGUUUCUUCAGUAGAAUGGCAGGCUUUGGUUUCACUGUCUCUCUUAGAUUUCACAUAGUGUGGGAGCGAUACUUUUCUCUGCAAAAAUCAGAGGAUGUGAGAAAAAAAGGAAUGGCUGCCGGGUGGGGGAAAAAAAAUUCACCACAGAGUUCCUGUUGUGGCUCAGAGGUUAAUGAACCUGACUAGCAUCCAUGAGGACGCACGUUUGAGCCCUGCCCUCGCUCAGUGGGUUAAGGAUCUGGCGUUGCCGUGAACUGUGGUGUAGGGUGCAGACACAGCUUGGAUCCCUUGUUGCUGUGGGUGUGGUGUAGCUCUGAUUCAACUCCUAACCUGGGAAUCUCCCUAUGCCCUGGGUGUGGCCCUAAAGAGAUAAAGGACAAAAAAAAAAAAAAAAAAAAAAAAAUCCACCACACGUAUGGUUUUUUUUUGUUUUUUUUUUUUCGGUUUUUGUAUUUUAUGGCCAUACCUGCAGCAUACGAAAGUUCCCUGGAAGUUCCCGGGCCAGGGAUUGAAUCUGAGCUAUAGCAAGGCCAAACUUUAACCCACUGGACCCAGCUAGGGAUUGAAACCUCAUCUCUGCAGAGACCCAAGCUGCUGCAGUAGGAUUCUUAACUCACUGCAUCACAGUGGGACAUCCACCAACCCUAUGUUUUAAUAGCCUGUUCAUGUUCAGAAUUGUCAAUGGUUAAGAGAAUCUUUGCUUUGCAUUUGGCUUCCAGAGCCAAAUUCCAGCUGUCCUAGCUAUGAGGGAGCGAAACUAGAAAAGCCUGAAGAGACUGUGCCCAGCUUAUAAAUACUAUGUUCAUCCUCAGCCAACCAUGUUUAUCAUCACCGAAUAAGCCAGUAGCUCAAGCGAUCCAGUAUCCCCUGGCAUAUGUGCAGGGUAGCAAAUUUCACCAUCUAGAACCAAGAUGCUUCUUCCAUGAUCUAGAGGAGAAAGAAGGGCAGGGUUUCCAGUCUUUAACUAUUAGUGUAAUUCAAUUGCUUCAUUGGACUACCCAAGGACAAUAGGAAAAUUAGCAUCAGCCACCAUCCAAACAGAAUUCAGGCCAUGUAUAUGUAUAUAUUAUUCUGGGAAUGUAAGAAGGUUAAUAGGAAUACAGUUUAACUUAGGAGCCCCAAGGUAUUAAUUACAUUCUUCAUGCUACAGGUGUUCAUAAUAUUCACAUUGCAAAACAUAGUAGCAGUGAAGUUAUGAUAUAUGAAAAUAUCUCCCUCCCUGAAAAGAGUUUAGGUUUAUUAGUCCAGACAGACUAAAGAAAAGGAAAAGUCCUAGUAAGGGACCUUUGUCUGCUUAUGCCACAAUUUUCCAAUCCUAAUUAUUAAGUCAUCGAACCUUCCAGAAAUGUUUCCAUGUUACACUUGGGUUAAUUGAAGUAAGAGGCAUUGUUGGGAAAUUCCUUAAGCCACUGACAAAAAGAAGCUUGCAAAGAACCCUAGUCUAAGAAGGCCCAGACCUCAAAAGGCAGUGCCAUGCUACUUAUGCUUUAAAAGUAUUCCUUUCCUGGAGUUCCUGUUGUGGCUCAGUGGGAUAAGAACCUGACUAGUAUCCAUGAGGAUGCAGGUUUGAUCCGUGGCCUCACUCAGUGGGUUAAGGAUCUGGCGUUGCCAUGAGCUGUGGUGAAGGUCUCAGAUGCUGCUUGGAUCUGGUGUGGCUGUGUUGUAGGCUGGCAACUGUGGCUCUGACUCAACCACUAGCCUGGGAACUUCCGUGUGCUGCAGGUUGGCCCUAAAAA
RNAcentral lists this long non-coding RNA (3231 nucleotides) under Sus scrofa (pig). RNAcentral describes it as "lncRNA (ENSSSCG00035047007.1)". The record is from RNAcentral. Lineage: Eukaryota; Metazoa; Chordata; Mammalia; Artiodactyla; Suidae.